Molecule: ribosomal RNA, 264 nt
Filed under: uncultured archaeon
Lineage: Archaea
Description: partial 16S ribosomal RNA
Rfam family: Archaeal small subunit ribosomal RNA
Source: RNAcentral
AGUCACUGACAUUAGAUACCCGUGUAGUCCCAGCCGUAAACUAUGCUCGCUAGGUGUCAGGCAUGGCGCGACCGUGUCUGGUGCCGCAGGGAAGCCGUGAAGCGAGCCACCUGGGAAGUACGGUCGCAAGGCUGAAACUUAAAGGAAUUGGCGGGGAGCACCACAACGGGUGGAGCCUGCGGUUUAAUUGGACUCAACGCCGGGAAGCUCACCGGAUAAGACAGCGGAAUGAUUGCCGGGCUGAAGACUCUGCAUGACUAGCUG